CAGAGUAUCCAGAAGUUGGUAAUAGAUCAUCAUGAAUGCAAGAUCUAUCUGUUGCAAAACAUUGCGAAAGAGAUCUAAUGUUGGUGACUGGGGCAAGCUGCCAAGCAGAUUGGUAUAUGCUAAUUGAAUACCUUGUUGAAAAAUUUUCAAGCUAGAAAGCUGCUAGUCUCAAGUAUUGCCAACAACUAACAGUAUGAAAUAAAAAAUGGAGAGUCCGUAUCUCUCUAGAACCACAUGUAAACAAGGUAGUGAGAAGAGUUUGAAAGGUUUACGAGAAUGCCUUCAGUGGAAAGUAUGGAAAGUAGCUAAAGGAGAAUUAUGUAGACUAAGAUUCUUGCUUCUUGAAGCUAAUAAACUCAAGCAUUGGGCAGGCGGUGGUGAUUUGCUAUGUCUCAAGUGGUUAGUCUUGAGAUGUUAUUGUUUGGAAAAGUUCUCUUGGUGUUUAACAGAAAAUUUGAACCUGCAGUCAAUUAAGUUGGAUUGCUAUGACCCUUCCAUUGUUGCUUUUGCUAAGUAGAUUCAAGAUUGGCAAGUUGGAAUAGGAAAUUCCAUUUUUGAGGCCAUUAAAGAUGACUUAGAGCCCAAUUUCACUUGCGGAUUGUGCAGUAAUCCCAUCAUUUUGGAUAAUCUUGACUAUAUGGAAGGGCUUGAGAAGCUAAUGAUUUCAGCUGUACUAUAACUCUUCAAAUCAGUCUAUGUUUCCUUUCCUAGUGGGGAAGUUAAGAUUCAGUAGGCUUAAUCUCUUUGAGAGACAUUUAACAGUAAUUGGCAUGUUGCGCCAGCUUAAGGUGCUCAAUCUAGAAAGUGCUUCCCAUGGAAAAGUAUGGGAAGUAGCUGAAGGAGGAUUCCAUCAAUUAGAAUUAUUGCUUCUUGAAGCUAAAAACCUGGAGCAAUUGAAGGCUAAUAAAUAUUCCUUCCCGCAUCUCCGGUGCUUAUGUCUAAGACUAAGUUAUUGUUUGGAAGAGAUUUCUAGUAGUUUUUCAUAUAUUUUGCAGUUAAUUGAGGUGAAACAGUGCAACCCUUCUGUUGUGCCAAGCAGAUUCAAGAAGGGUUGCAUUCAUUACAAUGAAGAAUGUUUGAGAUCAAAAUCGAUGGGCUUGAAUAUGGACAAUCACCAUAUCCACAUGUACAAGAGGACUUAGCAGAGAUCAUAGUGAAUAACUACCAUUUGAAAAUGGUAUGUACACAGAAACAUAUCUGCUAAACAAUUCCAACAUACUAUAAGAUCUAUUAUAAAACAUGACUGGCCCCGGGGCAUAGCUUGGUGGAUGAAGACUGAGUUUGCGGUAAUAUCCAGGGGUCAGUGUAAAAACUCAUAUCACUGAUCUGUAAAAAAAUAUAUUUGGCAUUCCUUAACGCAGCCAAAUGUUUCUCAUUUGCAGAGUAAGCAAAAUAUGCUAAUAGAGUGGUGAGGAGUAGAGGAAAAGAUUGGCACAACUUUAUGAAAUUAAAUAGAAAAAGGUUUUGAAGCUACUUGGAGGAGAAAUGUAUUGAAAUUUCCUUGUUUUGUUGAGAUGAAUAUGUAUCUGUUACAUACAAGAAGUUUCAUGUGAUACUUAA
Long non-coding RNA from Ipomoea triloba (trilobed morning glory), 1560 nucleotides. RefSeq lists it as uncharacterized. The transcript is spliced from 5 exons. Lineage: Eukaryota; Viridiplantae; Streptophyta; Magnoliopsida; Solanales; Convolvulaceae. The record is from RefSeq and is a predicted model, not a curated record.